GGUGAAGCGGCAGUGGCGGGUUUAGCCUUCGGGGGCCAGCCGCCGCCCUGAUCCUGCUAGAGGUGAACAACCGCAUCAUCGAGGAGACGCUCGCGCUCAAGUUCGAGAACGCGGCCGCCGGAAACAAACCAGAAGCAGUAGAAGUAACAUUUGCAGAUUUCGAUGGGGUCUUUUAUGAUAUUUCAGAUCCUAAUGGAGACAAAACAAAAGUGAUGGUCAGUAUUUCUUUGAAAUUCUACAAGGAACUUCAGGCACAUGGUGCUGAUGAGUUAUUAAAGAGGAUGUACAGGAGUUUCUUGGUAAAUUCAGAAUCAGGAUACAAUGUUUCUUUGCUAUACGACCUUGAAAAUCUGCCUGCAUCCAAGGAUUCCAUUGUGCAUCAAGCUGGCAUGUUGAAGCGAAAUCGUGUUGCCUCUGUCUUUGAAAAAUACUUCCAAUUCUAAGAACAGGGCAAGGAAGGAGAAAACAGGGCAGUUAUCCAUUAUAGGGAUGAUCAGACCAUGCAUGUUGAGUCUAAAAAGGACAGAGUCGCAGUAGUCUUCAGCACAGUGUUUAAGGAUGACGACGAUGUGGUCAUUGGAAAGGUGUUCAUGCCGGAGUUCAAAGGGGGAUGCAGAGCCAGCCACACAGCCACACAGGGCCUCUUUAGCCACCGGGAGCCUCCUCUGGAGCUGAAAGACACGGACGCCGCUGUGGGUGACAACAUUGGCAACAUCGCCUUUGUGCUGUUCCCUCGCCACACCAACGCCAGUGCUCGAGACACCACCAUCAACCUGAUCCACACGUUCCGGGACUACCUGCACGACCACCUCGAGGGCUCUAAGGCCUAUAUUCACACACGUAUGCGGGCAAAAACAUCUGACUUCCUCAGGGUGCUGAACCGCGCACGCCCAGAUGCCGAGAAAAAAAAAAAAAAAUGAAAACAAUCACGGGGAAGACGUUUUCAUCCCGCUAAUCUUGGGAAUAAGAGGAGGAAGCGGCUGGCAACUGAAGGCUAGAACACUUGCUACUGGAUAA
Saimiri boliviensis boliviensis (Bolivian squirrel monkey) is the source of this 1017-nucleotide non-coding RNA. NCBI's taxonomy places the organism in Eukaryota, Metazoa, Chordata, Mammalia, Primates, Cebidae. The record is from RefSeq and is a predicted model, not a curated record.